Molecule: ribosomal RNA, 481 nt
Filed under: uncultured bacterium
Lineage: Bacteria
Description: bacterial SSU rRNA
Rfam family: Bacterial small subunit ribosomal RNA
Source: RNAcentral
AAAGGAAUAGACGGGGGCUCGCACAAGCGGUGGAUCAUGAGGCUUAAUUCGUCGAUAAGCGAAAAACCUUACCGAGGCUAGAAACCAUACUGCACGCUGCCAGAAACGGCAGAAGUCUUCGAGAGUGUAUGGCAGGUGAUGCAUGGCCGUCGUCAGUUCGUGGCUUGAGCUGUUCCCUUAAGUGGGGAAACGAACGCAACCCUCGUUGCCUGUUACAAGUGUCAGGCGAGACUGCUCCCUCACGGGAGAGGAAGGUGAGGAUGACGCCAGGUCAGCAUGUCCCUUGAUGCCUCGGGCUGCACUCGUGAUACAAUGGGACGUACAAAGGGACGCAAUACCGUAAGGUGGAGCAAAUCCUGAUAAAACGUUCCCCAGUUCGGAUUGUGGGCUGCAAUUCGCCCACAUGAAGUCGGAAUCGCUAGUAAUCGUGAAUCAGCACGUCACGGUGAAUACGUUCCCGAGCCUUGUACACACCGCCCGU